UACGGAGGGGGCUAGCGUUGUUCGGAAUUACUGGGCGUAAAGCGCACGUAGGCGGCUUUGUAAGUUAGAGGUGAAAGCCCAGGGCUUAACCCUGGAAUUGCCUUUAAGACUGCAUCGCUAGAAUCGUGGAGAGGUGAGUGGAAUUCCGAGUGUAGAGGUGAAAUUCGUAGAUAUUCGGCGGAACACCAGUGGCGAAGGCGACUCACUGGCCCGAUACUGACGCUGAUGCGCGAAAGCGUGGGGAGCAAACAGG
RNAcentral lists this ribosomal RNA (253 nucleotides) under uncultured bacterium. Its description in RNAcentral is "partial 16S ribosomal RNA". It matches the Rfam family "Bacterial small subunit ribosomal RNA", at positions 524 to 776 of the family's 1533-position model. The record is from RNAcentral.